Molecule: ribosomal RNA, 253 nt
Filed under: uncultured bacterium
Lineage: Bacteria
Description: partial 16S ribosomal RNA
Rfam family: Bacterial small subunit ribosomal RNA
Source: RNAcentral
UACGUAGGGGGCUAGCGUUGUCCGGAAUCAUUGGGCGUAAAGCGCGUGUAGGCGGUCCGGUAAGUCCGCUGUGAAAGUCGGGGGCUCAACCCUCGGAUGCCGGUGGAUACUGUCGGGCUUGAGUACGGAAGAGGCAAGUGGAAUUCCUGGUGUAGCGGUGGAAUGCGCAGAUAUCAGGAGGAACACCAAUAGCGAAGGCAGCUUGCUGGGACGGUACUGACGCUAAGGCGCGAAAGCGUGGGGAGCGAACAGG